UUACCGAGUUUACAACUCCCAAACCCCUGUGAACAUACCUUAAUGUUGCCUCGGCGGAUCAGCCCGCGCCCCGUAAAACGGGACGGCCCGCCAGAGGACCCAAACUCUAAUGUUUCUUAUUGUAACUUCUGAGUAAAACAAACAAAUAAAUCAAAACUUUCAACAACGGAUCUCUUGGUUCUGGCAUCGAUGAAGAACGCAGCAAAAUGCGAUAAGUAAUGUGAAUUGCAGAAUUCAGUGAAUCAUCGAAUCUUUGAACGCACAUUGCGCCCGCUGGUAUUCCGGCGGGCAUGCCUGUUCGAGCGUCAUUUCAACCCUCAAGCCCUCGGGUUUGGUGUUGGGGAUCGGCUCUGCCUUCUGGCGGUGCCGCCCCCGAAAUACAUUGGCGGUCUCGCUGCAGCCUCCAUUGCGUAGUAGCUAACACCUCGCAACUGGAACGCGGCGCGGCCAUGCCGUAAAACCCCAACUUCUGAAUGUUGACCUCGGAUCAGGUAGGAAUACCCGCUGAACUUAAGCAUAUCAAUAAGCGGAGG
This 533-nucleotide ribosomal RNA is filed under the name Fusarium cf. tricinctum IPBCC 10.635. RNAcentral's name for it is "eukaryotic LSU rRNA". The stretch from base 155 to 308 matches the Rfam family "5.8S ribosomal RNA". The record is from RNAcentral. Lineage: Eukaryota; Fungi; Ascomycota; Sordariomycetes; Hypocreales; Nectriaceae.